Molecule: long non-coding RNA, 370 nt
Filed under: Mytilus galloprovincialis (Mediterranean mussel)
Lineage: Eukaryota; Metazoa; Mollusca; Bivalvia; Mytilida; Mytilidae
Source: RNAcentral
ACAAUCUAUACCCAGGAUUAAGAAAACUUAUUAUUUUUAAUAUUUCAACAUUUUAUAAACAAUACAAUUGCAAAAAGAAAAAAUAAAAAGAGGUAAAAUAUACCAAAUGGACAUUUAAAAUCAUAAAUCGAAAAACAAAGGGAUAAAUGUGAGGACAAAAAAAAAACAUUCAAAAGACAAACAGCAGUAUACAAAAAACAACAUAGGAAACAAGACUAGACUAACACAAACCAAGCAACACCUGGGGGAUAUCUCAAUGCUCUAAAAGGGUGAUCAGAUCCUGCUUCACACGUGACGUCUCUCAUGUUGCUAAUAUAAGUACAAACCUGGUUAUAAGUCUAAUUUGGAAGGUCACAUUCAUGAAAAAGAG